UUGGUUCCGGUUCACCCCAUGACGCCCUCGCGCCGCGACGGCAGGGGACCCGGCGGCC
Molecule: non-coding RNA, 58 nt
Filed under: unclassified sequences
Description: L31-Actinobacteria ribosomal protein leader
Rfam family: L31-Actinobacteria ribosomal protein leader
Source: RNAcentral